This 1126-nucleotide ribosomal RNA is filed under the name Pseudocoleophoma bauhiniae. RNAcentral's name for it is "SSU rRNA". It matches the Rfam family "Eukaryotic small subunit ribosomal RNA", at positions 36 to 1148 of the family's 1831-position model. The record is from RNAcentral. Lineage: Eukaryota; Fungi; Ascomycota; Dothideomycetes; Pleosporales; Dictyosporiaceae.
CGUCAAGAUUAAGCCACUGCAUGUUCUAAGUAUAGCAUCUAUACCGUGAAACUGCGAAUGGCUCAUUAAAUCAGUUAUCGUUUAUUUGAUAGUACCUUACUACUUGGAUACCCGUGGUAAUUCUAGAGCUAAUACAUGCUAAAAACCCCAACUUCGGGAGGGGUGUGUUUAUUAGAUAAAAAACCAACGCCCUUCGGGGCUCCUUGGUGAUUCAUGAUAACUUCUCAGAUCGCAUGGCCUUGCGCCGGCGACGGUUCAUUCAAAUUUCUGCCCUAUCAACUUUCGAUGGUAAGGUAUUGGCUUACCAUGGUUUCAACGGGUAACGGGGAAUUAGGGUUCGAUUCCGGAGAGCGAGCCUGAGAAACGGCUAGCACAUCCAAGGAAGGCAGCAGGCGCGCAAAUUACCCAAUCCCGACACGGGGAGGUAGUGACAAUAAAUACUGAUACAGGGCUCUUUUGGGUCUUGUAAUCGGAAUGAGUACAAUUUAAACCUCUUAACGAGGAACAAUUGGAGGGCAAGUCUGGUGCCAGCAGCCGCGGUAAUUCCAGCUCCAAUAGCGUAUAUUAAAGUUGUUGCAGUUAAAAAGCUCGUAGUUGACCAUUUGGCCUGGCUGGCAGGUCCGCCUCACCGCGUGCACUUGUCCGGCCGGGCCUUUCUUUCUGGAGAACCGCAUGCCCUUCACUGGGCGUGUUGGGGACCAGGACUUUUACUUUGAAAAAAUUAGAGUGUUCAAAGCAGGCCUUUGCUCGAAUACGUUAGCAUGGAAUAAUAGAAUAGGACGCGCGGUCCUAUUUUGUUGGUUUCUAGGACCGCCGUAAUGAUUAAUAGGGACAGUCGGGGGCAUCAGUAUUCAAUUGUCAGAGGUGAAAUUCUUGGAUUUAUUGAAGACUAACUACUGCGAAAGCAUUUGUCAAGGAUGUUUUCAUUAAUCAGUGAACGAAAGUUAGGGGAUCGAAGACGAUCAGAUACCGUCGUAGUCUUAACCAUAAACUAUGCCGACUAGGGAUCGGGCGGUGUUAUUUAUUUGACCCGCUCGGCACCUUGCGAGAAAUCAAAGUGUUUGGGUUCUGGGGGGGGAGUAUGGUCGCAGRCUGAACUAGUAGAUUUUUCUCAUUAGACGAAGAC